UGUAGCUCAGUUAGCAAAGUGCUUGCCUCACAUGCAGGAAGGCCUGGGUUCAAUCCCCAGCA
RNAcentral lists this transfer RNA (62 nucleotides) under Mesocricetus auratus (golden hamster). It matches the Rfam family "tRNA", at positions 6 to 65 of the family's 71-position model. Rfam says of the family: Transfer RNA (tRNA) molecules are approximately 80 nucleotides in length. Lineage: Eukaryota; Metazoa; Chordata; Mammalia; Rodentia; Cricetidae. The record is from Rfam by way of RNAcentral.